UACAGAGGGUGCGAGCGUUAAUCGGAAUUACUGGGCGUAAAGCGCACGUAGGCGGCUUGGUAUGUCGGGUGUGAAAUCCCCGGGCUCAACCUGGGAACUGCAUUCGAUACUGCCGUGCUUGAGGACUGGAGAGGAGACUGGAAUUUACGGUGUAGCGGUGAAAUGCGUAGAUAUCGUAAGGAAGACCAGUGGCGAAGGCGGGUCUCUGGACAGUUCCUGACGCUGAGGCACGAAGGUCAGGGGAGCAAACGGG
This 253-nucleotide ribosomal RNA is filed under the name uncultured bacterium. Its description in RNAcentral is "partial 16S ribosomal RNA". It matches the Rfam family "Bacterial small subunit ribosomal RNA", at positions 524 to 776 of the family's 1533-position model. The record is from RNAcentral.